This is a long non-coding RNA of Mya arenaria, 902 nucleotides long. RefSeq lists it as uncharacterized. Lineage: Eukaryota; Metazoa; Mollusca; Bivalvia; Myida; Myidae. The transcript has 3 exons. The record is from RefSeq and is a predicted model, not a curated record.
CGCGCCAACUGUCAAAAUGUUUUGAAAAACAAAAUGCUCUUAUUUCGAUGCAUUUCAGGAGUUUUGUUGUGAUAAGAACACUGGAAUAUAGACUGAAAUACUAUCCAACCAUUAGACUCAUGAUCUUGACAUGGAUCCAAGAUGCUGGUAACUAGGCGGGACGGAUUGUUACACAGAACUGCAGGUUUCUGGAUGGAGACUCAGCGCCAUGUCACAAAUACUUCAGAGCCUAGAAUGAAAGUUACCGAAAGAGCAAUAGACUUUCAAAUCUCUACAAAAUUCAUCUUAACUGUUUUUCAAGGUGAUACUUGAGACUACCAAAGACUUUUCAAGGACAGAAUUCACAAAACAGUUUAUGCCACCAUCUCAUAUCAAAGGAUUGUGCUUGAGUUGAACAGCCUUCAAACAGAAACUGUUUCAAAACCUUCAAUGGAUUCAUUCUGAUUCAGUUUACCCUUGCUGUGAUCUGAGCAACUAUUUACAUCAAUUCAACAUUGUAAAUUGUUUAAACUUGAAAAUUCUGUCUUCGUGCAACUCACAUGAAUCUAUUUACUGUGGACUUUGAUGUUGACUCUAUACAGGAAGAAGAGACCAUCUUUAUACAUGCUGGCAUAUCUUUUAAAAAGGAAACAAAUAUUAUAACCAACAUACUACACUGUUAUGUCAUCCAAGGACUCAGCUACUGACUCAAUUUAUAAAUACUUCAAAGGAAAAAUGUCUCUGUCAAUGUAAUUACUGCUGUGCAUAAUAAGACAUUUUUAUUAUGUGCCUCUUCGAAGAAGAGGGGUAUAUUGCUUUGCACAUGUCGGUUGGUCGGUCGGUACCGUCUACCGUCUGUAGACCAAAGCUUGUCCGAGUGAUAACUCAACAAUUCCUGGAUGUAUGGUCAUCAAACUUGACAU